GCGUUAAUCGGAAUUACUGGGCGUAAAGGGUGCGCAGGCGGCCCUGUAAGACCGGUGUGAAAUCCCCGGGCUCAACCUGGGAAUUGCGCUGGUGACUGCAGGGCUAGAGUACGGUAGAGGGGGGUGGAAUUCCUGGUGUAGCAGUGAAAUGCGUAGAGAUCAGGAGGAACACCGAUGGCGAAGGCAGCCCCCUGGGCCUGUACUGACGCUCAUGCACGAAAGCGUG
RNAcentral lists this ribosomal RNA (226 nucleotides) under uncultured bacterium. RNAcentral describes it as "partial 16S ribosomal RNA". It matches the Rfam family "Bacterial small subunit ribosomal RNA", at positions 538 to 763 of the family's 1533-position model. The record is from RNAcentral.